RNAcentral lists this ribosomal RNA (884 nucleotides) under uncultured bacterium. Its description in RNAcentral is "bacterial SSU rRNA". It matches the Rfam family "Bacterial small subunit ribosomal RNA", at positions 9 to 873 of the family's 1533-position model. The record is from RNAcentral.
AGAGUUUGAUCCUGGCUCAGGAUCAACGCUGGCGGCGUGCCUCAGACAUGCAAGUCGAACGCGAAAGUUCCCUUCGGGGAGCAAGUAGAGUGGCGCACGGGUGAGUAACACGUAGGUAAUCUACCUUUGGAUGGGGAAUAACAACCGGAAACGGUUGCUAAUACCGCAUAAUGCAGCGGCACCUAAUGGUGACAGUUGUUAAAGCGGGGGAUCGCAAGACCUCGCGUCUGAAGAGGAGCCUGCGGCAGAUUAGCUAGUUGGUAAGGUAACGGCUUACCAAGGCUGUGAUCUGUAGCCGGCCUGAGAGGGCGGUCGGCCACACUGACACUGACAUACGGGUCAGACUCCUACGGGAGGCAGCAGUCGGGAAUUUUGGGCAAUGGGCGAAAGCCUGACCCAGCAACGCCGCGUGAAGGAUGAAAUCCCUCGGGAUGUAAACUUCGCAAGAACGGGAAGAAUAAGUAGGGGACAAUACCCCCUAUGAUGACGGUACUGUUUGUAAGCUCCGGCUAACUCCGUGCCAGCAGCCGCGGUAAUACGGGGGGAGCAAGCGUUGUUCGGAUUUAUUGGGUUUAAAGGGUGCGUAGGCGGCCCGUUAAGUCCGUGGUGAAAGCCUCCAGCUCAACUGGAGAACUGCCAUGGAUACUGGCGGGCUUGAGUACAGACGAGGUUGGCGGAAUUGAUUGUGUAGCGGUGAAAUGCAUAGAUACAAUCAAGAACUCCGAUUGCGUAGGCAGCUAACUAGGCUGUAACUGGCGCUGUGGCACGAAAGCGUGGGGAGCGAACAGGAUUAGAUACCCUGGUAGUCCACGCUGUAAACGAUGAUUACUCGAUGUUGGCGAUAAACUGUCAGCGUCUUAGCGAAAGCGUUAAGUAAUCCACCU